RNAcentral lists this long non-coding RNA (509 nucleotides) under Vigna radiata. RNAcentral's name for it is "long non-coding RNA (VRAD_LNC010326)". Lineage: Eukaryota; Viridiplantae; Streptophyta; Magnoliopsida; Fabales; Fabaceae. The record is from RNAcentral.
GCUGGCGAGAUUCGCUGGCGAGAUUCGCUUGUUUACACAACCAUUCACUGCAAAGUAAAGGAGAGAAUCCUGCCGUUUGAAUUUGAAAAAGAAGGUCUGGGCAUGAAGACCAUUAAUAGGAGUGUGUUAACGUAUAACUUUGGUGUGUGUAUUAAAACCGAUGCUUGUGUGUUUAGAUAGAGUGAAGGAAGUUUGAGAGUGUGUGGUCAUUGACGAGCUUUGCGCGAAGAGUUCUCUCUGUGUGUGGUGAAGAGCAGCAAUUGUGGAGAGUAGGAGUGAUAGGUGUCGCAGCCCAUACAAAUUUGAUUGCAUAUGAGAAAUGCAGUAUAGCUAGGGAAUGACCCCUAGGUCGUCUCCCAAAGACCAAUUUUGCGGUUCGAGAAUCGAGUCUAACACGAAGGGGGGGGGUUUGAAAAGGUUGUGGUGAAUACAGACGAAUUAGCUGAAAUCCAAAACACAGAUCCAAACAAAGAUGUAAACACAGAUCUAAAGAAAACGGUUUCAAACAC